Non-coding RNA from Colius striatus (speckled mousebird), 70 nucleotides. Lineage: Eukaryota; Metazoa; Chordata; Aves; Coliiformes; Coliidae. The record is from Rfam.
AAUGAAUGAUGACAAAAUGUUUCGGUCCCAGAUGACACAGAGUGAUUCCACUUUUCCAUUUUCUGACAUU